AAAGGAAUUGACGGGGGCCCGCACAAGCAGUGGAGUAUGUUGUUUAAUUCGAAGCAACGCGAAGAACCUUACCAGGUCUUGACAUCGAGUGAAAGCUCUAGAGAUAGAGCCCUCCCUUCGGGGACACGAAGACAGGUGGUGCAUGGUUGUCGUCAGCUCGUGUCGUGAGAUGUUGGGUUAAGUCCCGCAACGAGCGCAACCCUUAUUAUUAGUUGCUACGCAAGAGCACUCUAAUGAGACUGCCGUUGACAAAACGGAGGAAGGUGGGGAUGACGUCAAAUCAUCAUGCCCUUUAUGACCUGGGCUACAAACGUACUACAAUGGCGUAUAACAACGGGAAGCUAAGCCGCGAGGUGGAGCAAAUCCCCAAAAUACGUCUCAGUUCGGAUUGCAGGCUGCAACUCGCCUGCAUGAAGUCGGAAUUGCUAGUAAUCGCAGAUCAGCAUGCUGCGGUGAAUACGUUCCCGGGCCUUGUACACACCGCCCGU
RNAcentral lists this ribosomal RNA (488 nucleotides) under uncultured bacterium. Its description in RNAcentral is "bacterial SSU rRNA". It matches the Rfam family "Bacterial small subunit ribosomal RNA", at positions 903 to 1397 of the family's 1533-position model. The record is from RNAcentral.